UCUUCGAUAGCUCAGUUGGUAGAGCGGAGGACUGUAGAUCCUUAGGUCGCUGGUUCAACUCCGGCUAGAAGUUAA
Molecule: transfer RNA, 75 nt
Filed under: Gadus morhua (Atlantic cod)
Lineage: Eukaryota; Metazoa; Chordata; Actinopteri; Gadiformes; Gadidae
Description: tRNA-Tyr (GTA) (tRNA-Tyr-GTA-27-1)
Rfam family: tRNA
About the family: Transfer RNA (tRNA) molecules are approximately 80 nucleotides in length. Their secondary structure includes four short double-helical elements and three loops (D, anti-codon, and T loops). Further hydrogen bonds mediate the characteristic L-shaped molecular structure. tRNAs have two regions of fundamental functional importance: the anti-codon, which is responsible for specific mRNA codon recognition, and the 3' end, to which the tRNAs corresponding amino acid is attached (by aminoacyl-tRNA synthetases). tRNAs cope with the degeneracy of the genetic code in two manners: having more than one tRNA (with a specific anti-codon) for a particular amino acid; and 'wobble' base-pairing, i.e. permitting non-standard base-pairing at the 3rd anti-codon position.
Source: RNAcentral